RNAcentral lists this ribosomal RNA (270 nucleotides) under Triticum aestivum (bread wheat). RNAcentral describes it as "partial small subunit ribosomal RNA". Lineage: Eukaryota; Viridiplantae; Streptophyta; Magnoliopsida; Poales; Poaceae. The record is from RNAcentral.
AUGGAUGAGGAGUACUACAUGUUUUGCGAUCAAGGAUCCGAUGAUGACACAAUUGAGGAUGACGAUGAAAUGAGCAUGUCGGAUGCUAUACCUAGCGAGGUUGAUCCAUUAGACUUUGUCUACACAAACAUCCCAGACAGCACUCACAUCCUGAAGCUCGACGCAAACUACAAACACUACAAGGCCAAAAAGUUUGUGUCUGAGACUGACGGGUUCUGCUGUCGCAAUGGACAGAUCAAACUUAAACAACAGAACCAGUCCCAGAGCUGA